This 253-nucleotide ribosomal RNA is filed under the name uncultured bacterium. RNAcentral describes it as "partial 16S ribosomal RNA". It matches the Rfam family "Bacterial small subunit ribosomal RNA", at positions 524 to 776 of the family's 1533-position model. The record is from RNAcentral.
UACGGGGGGGGUAAGCGUUGUUCGGAAUUACUGGGCGUAAAGGGCUCGUAGGCGGCCAACUAAGUCCGACGUGAAAUCCCUCAGCUUAACUGGGGAACUGCGCCUGAUACUGGAUGGCUUGGAUCCGGGAGAGGGAUGCGGAAUUCCAGGUGUAGCGGUGAAAUGCGUAGAUAUCUGGAGGAACACCGGUGGCGAAGGCGGCAUCCUGGACCGGUAUUGACGCUGAGGAGCGAAAGCAUGGGGAGCGAACGGG